RNAcentral lists this ribosomal RNA (505 nucleotides) under uncultured bacterium. RNAcentral's name for it is "partial 16S ribosomal RNA". It matches the Rfam family "Bacterial small subunit ribosomal RNA", at positions 28 to 507 of the family's 1533-position model. The record is from RNAcentral.
GACGAACGCUGGCGGCGUGCCUAAUACAUGCCAGUCGAACGCACAGUUUAUACCGUAGCUUGCUACACCAUAGACUGUGAGUUGCGAACGGGUGAGUAACGCGUAGGUAACCUGCCUGGUAGCGGGGGAUAACUAUUGGAAACGAUAGCUAAUACCGCAUAAUAUUAAUUAUUGCAUGAUAAUUAAUUGAAAGGUGCAAUUGCACCACUACCAGAUGGACCUGCGUUGUAUUAGCUAGUAGGUGAGGUAACGGCUCACCUAGGCGACGAUACAUAGCCGACCUGAGAGGGUGAUCGGCCACACUGGGACUGAGACACGGCCCAGACUCCUACGGGAGGCAGCAGUAGGGAAUCUUCGGCAAUGGACGAAAGUCUGACCGAGCAACGCCGCGUGAGUGAAGAAGGUUUUCGGAUCGUAAAGCUCUGUUGUAAGAGAAGAACGGGGGUGAGAGUGGAAAGUUCACACUGUGACGGUAUCUUACCAGAAAGGGACGGCUAACUACGUG